Varroa destructor (honeybee mite) is the source of this 898-nucleotide long non-coding RNA. The record is from RefSeq and is a predicted model, not a curated record. Lineage: Eukaryota; Metazoa; Arthropoda; Arachnida; Mesostigmata; Varroidae.
AUCGGAGGAUCUGCAGGACAGAGAAAAACAGAGUGUUAAUGUGCUCGAUUGAAGACUGAAGAUAAACAGGUCGUGACAGAUAUGUUCCCGUAGUAAAAUUACGCAUUCAACAAGUACUGACUGAACCUCUAUCCGGCUUUUACAUCAUAUUGCCCUGUGCGCUACAGGACUCUAUAGCAGUUUCUUUGUUCAGGAAUGACAGAGUGUUAUCGUUAGAAAGAUUUUCUUCUGUCUUAGAAGGCCCAAAUCGAGAUCACUUUGUUAUGUUCACGAAAGCAUAACACAUACGAUGAGAUUUCUACAGUUGAGAGUCUAGCACAAGUGGCUUCUACACGUUAAACCAAGGCCCAAUCGACCUGAAGAACGCAGUUCAUUGAGCUUUUCAGGCUCGAUGAUGAGCUCGACCCAUUUGGGAGCCCAAAUUCAAGAUAAGGUCUUGUGAGCCGUACAAAACGACGGUAACCUACGGUAAGCAGGAGAGAAAGCGACGUCUCUAAUAGUUGUCUUUAACACUUGACGAAACGAAGAGCUAUAAAAUCCAGCAAAUAGCAAGAAUUAAUUGGUAUACAUGUGCGUAUGAGAGAGCCGACUUGACCCCUAAAGAGAAUCCAUUGGCAGUUAGACGUACGCAGAUGAAUUUCUUGCUAAACUUGCGAGCGUAGAAGUACUUCUCAAUAUACACAUCAACAGAAAUGAUCGAUAGAUUGAUUACUGCAACAUGUUACCAUAAGGAUAAUCAGAAAGAGAAACUCCGUCGCGGCUAACGCAAAACACACAGGAUAUAGGUAAAUGUCGACAACUUACUUGCUAUGAAUCGAUCAUAAAACUUUCGUGGGAUCGUGACUAGCUGUUCAACCAUCUGGCUGGAGCCCAACUGUCGGACAAUUUCCAUUUGGGU